UUUGAAACUGGUGAACUAGAGUACUGUAGAGGGGGGUAGAAUUUCAGGUGUAGCGGUGAAAUGCGUAGAGAUCUGAAGGAAUACCAGUGGCGAAGGCGGCCCCCUGGACAGAUACUGACACUCAGAUGCGAAAGCGUGGGGAGCGAACAGGAUUAGAUACCCUGGUAGUCCACGCCGUAAACGAUGUCUACUUGGAGGUUGUGGCCUUGAGCCGUGGCUUUCGGAGCUAACGCGUUAAGUAGACCGCCUGGGGAGUACGGUCGCAAGAUUAAAACUCAAAUGAAUUGACGGGGGCCCGCACAAGCGGUGGAGCAUGUGGUUUAAUUCGAUGCAACGCGAAGAACCUUACCUACUCUUGACAUCCAGAGAAGCCAGCGGAGACGCAGGUGUGCCUUCGGGAGCUCUGAGACAGGUGCUGCAUGGCUGUCGUCAGCUCGUGUUGUGAAAUGUUGGGUUAAGUCCCGCAACGAGCGCAACCCUUAUCCUUGUUUGCCAGCGAGUAAUGUCGGGAACUCCAGGGAGACUGCCGGUGAUAAACCGGAGGAAGGUGGGGACGACGUCAAGUCAUCAUGGCCCUUACGAGUAGGGCUACACACGUGCUACAAUGGCGCAUACAGAGGGCAGCAAGCUAGCGAUAGUGAGCGAAUCCCAAAAAGUGCGUCGUAGUCCGGAUUGGAGUCUGCAACUCGACUCCAUGAAGUCGGAAUCGCUAGUAAUCGUAGAUCAGAAUGCUACGGUGAAUACGUUCCCGGGCCUUGUACAC
Molecule: ribosomal RNA, 763 nt
Filed under: uncultured bacterium
Lineage: Bacteria
Description: bacterial SSU rRNA
Rfam family: Bacterial small subunit ribosomal RNA
Source: RNAcentral